Molecule: ribosomal RNA, 255 nt
Filed under: uncultured bacterium
Lineage: Bacteria
Description: partial small subunit ribosomal RNA
Rfam family: Bacterial small subunit ribosomal RNA
Source: RNAcentral
AGGACGAACGCUGGCGGCGUGCUUAACACAUGCAAGUCGAGCGGAAAGGCCCUUCGGGGUACUCGAGCGGCGAACGGGUGAGUAACACGUGAGCAACCUGCCCCUGGCUCUGGGAUAGCCUCCGGAAACGGGGAUUAAUACCGGAUAUUCACUGCUUCCUGCAUGGGGGGUGGUGGAAAGUUUUUCGGCUAGGGCGGGCUCGCGGCCUAUCAGCUUGUUGGGGGGGUGACGGCCCACCAAGGCGACGACGGGUAG